GGAACUUCUAAACACGUUUGGCCUGAGGUGUGGCAUGAAGAGGUCUUACAGCUGUGUGAAGGAACGUUGUGCAAAAGACAAAGAUGCGAAGGAAACCUCCUAAAAGCCAAGCCUUGGGACAGAGGUCUCUAACUGGAGACAUAAAUUAGGAGACUUGAUCCAGGUUAGAGCCAGAGGGGAUGCAUUACCAGGUUCCAUUAGCAAAAGGUAACUGAGGUGGGGGAAGAACAUGAGGGGAAAGGUGGAAGGAGAAAGAACGCAUUAGUAAAGGAGAGACCUUACAAAUGAUGUCAGGGCUAAAAAAGAAAAAAAGAAUAAAAACAUAAAAAAUAAAUAGAGAGGUAGAGACCACAAGCCAACCUUCCAAGGAGUUAUCCCAACUGUUCAAAACCAGGAACAGCAAGGGGCCACAGAGAAGCUGAGAAGUCAUUCCACAGCCCCUGGUCACAGCCACCAGAGCAGCCUGAAGGUCCAUGUGGCCCAGCAGCUUCCAAGCUCCCGGCUUGGGGUGAGGCGAGUUUAGCCUGCUGCAGCCUCUUGCCCCCUUUCUCCCACCCUUCCAGGCCCUCUAGGGUCUGUUUCCCUGAAGCUUUGUCCUGGGAGAUGGGGGGCAUGGCUUCCACCCUCAUCAGGGCUACAGAACCUGUUCACACAUUCACACAUCCAGCCCUUCCUUAAAAACCCUCCCUCCCUGCCGAGCCCUCCCCUCCGUCACCACUUCUUGUCAGGGGACUUCAGCUGUUCAAUCGAGUCUCUGAUGAGGUGCCCGACCCAGAUCUAAUCUCAGGAAAAGAUCAAGAUGAUUUUCCUGUUUGGGUUCAGCCCCAAGGGCAUUCUCGGAGAGGAAUCUGCCAGCAUCCUGCCUUGACAACCGUUCACUAUUAAAAUGUCACAAACAUGAAUAAAACAUGUUCAUUUCUAAAAAAAGAAAACCUGCUCUGCCUCAUGCCUCUCUCCUCCCUCCCCCAUUUCUCUCCCUCUCUCCCUCUCUCCCCUCUCUCUCCUUUCCAAACCUGCUCUCGGAGGAUGGGGAAGAAAUCAUGGGUUCCAAGGAACAUUCCUGUACUCACCAGUCACCCCACAGAGACAAGCACACACUCAGUCACAGACUCCGGCUUCUGGCUUGAGCUGUUCAUCGACGCACAGGAAAGAGAGAGGGGGUGCACGCAAGUCUUACCUACUCAGUUUGGAUGUCCGGAGACAGCUGAGUUGAGCUCAGGAAAGAUGUCCAGGGGAUGGGGCUGUGAGAGAUUCCAAGAGGCAGCCAAGCGAUGGGGAAUUCCUCAGCUCCUGCUUCCUCUGCUCCUCCAGCCGCCUGCACCCAGAGGGGGGCCUGCCCUCCAUCACCAGGAAAAGCUGUAGGCAGAGCUGCAUCCAUAUGGGAGCUUCUCUGCCAACCAAGUUGCUAAGGAACAGGAGUUGGAACCAGAUUGGGGUAACAUUGGCACUUGGGACACAAGCACAGUUGAAACUGAAGUAUAGCAGCAACAGAGAAAGCAGAAAACAGCUUCGUGAUUUCCUUCAAAGCCAGCCCUUACUCAUAACUUUAUAGCAGAUUCGUAG
Long non-coding RNA from Rhinopithecus bieti (black snub-nosed monkey), 1563 nucleotides. Lineage: Eukaryota; Metazoa; Chordata; Mammalia; Primates; Cercopithecidae. The record is from Ensembl.